GCAGAUGAUAAUCAGCAUUCUGGAGAUCAACGUAAUGGUAUUUUAUGGGGUUUGUCUUUUGGAGCAGCUUCAGCAAUAGCUUUGAAAACCAUUAGUGCUUUAUUUCCUCAACGAACUACUGAAGAUAAUACAGAGAAAGUUACUCAAGUUAUUAUACCUGCUAUUACUAUUAAUAUACCUCAAAAUUUAAGCAAUCAAGUGAAACUCCAGCAUAAUGUGUCUGCAAAUCCUUCUGUCACUAUUAAUACGCCGCUCAAUUUAACCGAUCAAGUGACACUCCAUCACAAUGCCUCGGCAAAUCAAAUUACUUCUCAACCCAAGCCUAAGGCUGUAGGUCAUCCUGUGUCAUGUGAGCAAUUGAUAGGCGGUUUAUUAAAUGAUUGCAAAGGACACCACAGCAAUCAAUGUGACUCCUAUUCUAAGAUAUAUAAGCAAUUUUGCUCUGGAUCAGGUAUUUUUCAU
Molecule: long non-coding RNA, 462 nt
Organism: Lycium ferocissimum
Lineage: Eukaryota; Viridiplantae; Streptophyta; Magnoliopsida; Solanales; Solanaceae
Exons: 3
Source: RefSeq, a predicted model, not a curated record